UUCACCGGACGUCUGCUACACUACCAGACCGUCCAGUAUAAAGAAGUUUUCUUUGAGCUUUCAAGAUUUCAAUGCUAAAUAUCAAAGCAUUUUACCUUUACAUAUAGAUUCGAAAAUUCUAAUAUGAUUUUCUUCAAUAUGCCCGAUCAUUAAUGUUCAUGGCUUUGAUCUUGAUUCCUCUUGUCAUUGGCAAUUGUCUCGUUCUUCAUGAGUGCAUUCGUUUAGUCCUAUGAGUCUUCAUUUUGAUUUCAACUACCAUAACUCAAAGGUAGGUUUGUUAGAACUAAAAAAUAAAUUGUGUAUGUCAUAAUCAAAACAUAUGCCGAAGUCGAAGCCAACAAUUUCCCCUUUUUGAUUAUGACAAACAAAUGAUUUGCACAAGACGAAAAAAAUCAACAAAUAUAUAUUCCCCCUAUCUUU
Molecule: long non-coding RNA, 420 nt
Filed under: Olea europaea (common olive)
Lineage: Eukaryota; Viridiplantae; Streptophyta; Magnoliopsida; Lamiales; Oleaceae
Description: long non-coding RNA (OEUR_LNC006444)
Source: RNAcentral